UACGGAGGGGGUUAGCGUUGUUCGGAAUUACUGGGCGUAAAGCGUACGUAGGCGGAUUGGAAAGUAGGGGGUGAAAUCCCAGGGCUCAACCCUGGAACUGCCUCCUAAACUAUCAGUCUAGAGUUCGAGAGAGGUGAGUGGAAUUCCAAGUGUAGAGGUGAAAUUCGUAGAUAUUUGGAGGAACACCAGUGGCGAAGGCGGCUCACUGGCUCGAUACUGACGCUGAGGUACGAAAGUGUGGGGAGCAAAC
This 250-nucleotide ribosomal RNA is filed under the name uncultured bacterium. RNAcentral describes it as "partial 16S ribosomal RNA". It matches the Rfam family "Bacterial small subunit ribosomal RNA", at positions 524 to 773 of the family's 1533-position model. The record is from RNAcentral.